Schistosoma rodhaini is the source of this 45-nucleotide non-coding RNA. The record is from Rfam. Lineage: Eukaryota; Metazoa; Platyhelminthes; Trematoda; Strigeidida; Schistosomatidae.
AUCUAGCUAAAGAGUCCCAAAUAGAAUGAAACGUGUGUCCUGGAU